This is a non-coding RNA of Meleagris gallopavo (turkey), 690 nucleotides long. The record is from RefSeq and is a predicted model, not a curated record. Lineage: Eukaryota; Metazoa; Chordata; Aves; Galliformes; Phasianidae.
CACACAGUCAUGCUUAGGAUUUCACUGACACAGGUAUGCACCCAAUACCAUUGUCCGUGUCAACAGCAGAGAAGUUAAAUAGAACUCACACCAACCCUUGAGAUGCAGGCAGUAAGUUUUCUGGAUAUGUUGUCAGGUGACAGCUCCAUGUUUGACUGCCACGAUCUGCUUGCUGAUGGAGCUGUGAGUGGGUGCUCAGCUCAUCACACACUGAAAUAAAAAUACUAAUGCACAGAAGAAUGAACUCAUUAAAAAAGGCUUUAAUCCACUGUCCUGUACAGAAGAGUGAAGAAUUCCACUGAAAUCCAAGAAGACAGCCGCCUUCAGAUGAUACAGAGCUUACUGACAGUUGCUCUUGCUCCAGUCCUACUUCAUGAGAACUUCAGAAGAUACUAACUGAGGUCUGAAUGUAUUGCUCUUGCAGGUGCAACAAAUUGUGGUGUGAAAAUAUGAUAUGGAGAGUAUGAAUUUGAAUGUCGCGAAACAUCUGAAAUGUCAAAUUGUUUGCCAGGCUGCACAGCCUGAUGAAACUACCACGUCACACACAACAGUUCACUUCCUUUGAGCUGUCACAAGGUGAUAAAACUUUUCCAAUUUCAGAUGAUUGAUUAUUCUCUUUUACAGAGUCAGGAACAUUUUUCUGAGGAGUAGAUUUAUAACUGUGUAACAGAUGGCAUUCUUGUUCACCAC